Setaria italica (foxtail millet) is the source of this 1817-nucleotide long non-coding RNA. RefSeq lists it as uncharacterized. The transcript is spliced from 5 exons. Lineage: Eukaryota; Viridiplantae; Streptophyta; Magnoliopsida; Poales; Poaceae. The record is from RefSeq and is a predicted model, not a curated record.
CCUCCCAUUCUCCACCCAGCCGCCACACACGCCGAACCCCGACGGCCGACACCCCUCAUCUCGAACUCUUGAUCUGCCCGUGACUCCGCGGGUCCCGCGGGAUCCCGACUCCCCCAAUCCCUAUCCUCCAAGACCACGCCGACCUCCUCCCUGCAGCCAGUGCUAGAACCACGCUUCCGUCUUCCCAACAGCGGACGGUCAAAUCUUGGACAGAGAACAGCGCCUGCGGCCUGCACGAUCAGGAGUAAUGCCGUCACACCAACCUACCGAUAGCUCCAAGUGCCAGCCUCCGGCAAAUGCUGCCUCUGGUCUUCUUGUGACUCCAGGUGAUAUUGAAGUUGAAGGGCAUAGAUGUAUCUUGUUUGUGUGUGAAAUGACGAAUGUACUAUGAUGAACUAUGAAGUGAUGAUGGACUAUGCUUCAUAUUUUUGCUGUGAACUACAAGUUCCUGUAUGUCAAUAUGUGAUGUUUGAUGCCUCGUGCCUGUGUAUUGGUUGGAAGCUGGAGGGCACACGGGCAUGCCCGUGGGUAACACAUGCCCGCGGAUGGUGGGUGACGGGUGCGGGCGCGGGCGAGCAGCGUGGGAUGGGGUCGCCUCCCUCGGCGGCCUCCUAGCGGCACAACGUGGGGCAGGCCUACCUCCCUCGGCCGGCGUGCUAGGGGCGGCAGGGACGGGCGGCCACGGUGGAGGCUGCCUCCCUAGUAGGCUCGUGCCGGAGUCGCGCGGGGCGCUUCCAUGGCCGGCAGCGAUGCACCUCCACACCCGUUGCCCCCUUUUGUCUUCCUGCUCCUGCACCAAACUCAGCACUGCCAGGGGAGAUUUUUAACCUUCUGAUUUCAGAUUCAAGCACAGUUACUGAACUCGAUCUUUAGUGAGACUUGUAUAGUUCCAAAGCAUUGUUUCAGAUCCUGUGAUGUUUUUGUGCGGCUAAAUUUAUUCAAAGGAUUGUGCUUCAGCUCUUAAUAUAUACAAGAAGAAUGAAUCUCAGUCACACCUAGGAAUGCUUAAAAAAUAUCUGAAUUAAUGUUCUAUUAGUGAGUUCUGUAGAUGCCUGAUUAAUCAUUAGUACAUCUGUGACAUGUAUCCAUAGAUAUGUUGUGAUUUUCUUCUGAUUCCAUGGGCAGUUCAUGCCAUUUUAUUUUCUGAAUUGAUCUACAACCAGUAUUUCUGAAUUUCUAGUAGCUCGGAUAAGUUUAUUUUAUUAACUUUUUUAUUUGCUGGUUGCUGCGUUUAGUUGUCUAAUAUUUGGGUAAUGAUCCAUGUUUACUUUGCUUCUGUUCAGAGUAUUGGUCCAGUGGCUUCAUAGGAAGUGUUUUUUGCUUCGGAGUGAGGCUUCAAAUUGUUGCUGUGAAGUUAGUUUAUAAUUGAAUGAUAAAAUUGGAGGAAAGCAGCUACAUAGGCUACAACCCUAUCCCUCUACAGACUGCAGGUCAUUGAGAGACACAAGUCAUGUGGAAAAAAGAAAAAAGGAGUACUUAUCCUUAAUUCCUAUGCAUUUUUGCUAAUAGGAAAGUAUGGACAACUAAAAUAUUUAGAGAAAGCUUUAUGCCUAUAUGCUGGCGAUGGACUUCUAGAAGAACGGAGAAUUACAGAAAGGUUUAUUGGUAACUGCUGGUGUCGAUGGGGAAUGAAUAGAUCAAUAAGAGAACUCAUAUUUAGUUUUAUUUUAUUAUGCCAAACAUAGUUGCAAACUUAUAGUCAGAGAUGAUGUUUUUAUUCUGCUGUGGUCAUGUUUAUUUUAGCAGUACUCUAGUCAUUGUGUUAUUACUUUGGUUGAGACAUAUAUUAGAAGUUAAUGAAGGUUUGAGUUCUUAUA